Molecule: ribosomal RNA, 243 nt
Filed under: uncultured bacterium
Lineage: Bacteria
Description: partial 16S ribosomal RNA
Rfam family: Bacterial small subunit ribosomal RNA
Source: RNAcentral
GAUCAUGGCUCAGAUUGAGCGCUGGCGGCAGGCCUAACACAUGCAAGUCGAACGGUAACAGGAAGAAGCUUGCUUCUUUGCUGACGAGUGGCGGACGGGUGAGUAAUGUCUGGGAAACUGCCUGAUGGAGGGGGGAUAACUACUGGAAACGGUAGCUAAUACCGCAUAACGUCGCAAGACCAAAGAGGGGGACCUUCGGGCCUCUUGCCAUCGGAUGUGCCCAGAUGGGAUUAGCUUGUUGGG